This 459-nucleotide ribosomal RNA is filed under the name uncultured bacterium. Its description in RNAcentral is "partial 16S ribosomal RNA". It matches the Rfam family "Bacterial small subunit ribosomal RNA", at positions 338 to 795 of the family's 1533-position model. The record is from RNAcentral.
CCUACGGGAGGCAGCAGUGAGGAAUAUUGGUCAAUGGGAGAGAUCCUGAACCAGCCAAGCCGCGUGAGGGAAGACGGCCCUAUGGGUUGUAAACCUCUUUUGUCGGAGAACAAAAUCCGGGACGUGACCCGGAGUGAGAGUAUCCGAAGAAAAAGCAUCGGCUAACUCCGUGCCAGCAGCCGCGGUAAUACGGAGGAUGCGAGCGUUAUCCGGAUUUAUUGGGUUUAAAGGGUGCGUAGGCGGUCCGUUAAGUCAGCGGUAAAAUCGCGGGGCUCAACCCCGCCGCGCCGUUGAAACUGGCAGACUUGAGUUGGCGAGAGGUACGCGGAAUGCGCGGUGUAGCGGUGAAAUGCAUAGAUAUCGCGCAGAACUCCGAUUGCGAAGGCAGCGUACCGGCGCCAGACUGACGCUGAGGCACGAAAGCGUGGGGAUCGAACAGGAUUAGAUACCCUAGUAGUC